RNAcentral lists this ribosomal RNA (478 nucleotides) under uncultured bacterium. RNAcentral's name for it is "partial 16S ribosomal RNA". It matches the Rfam family "Bacterial small subunit ribosomal RNA", at positions 28 to 507 of the family's 1533-position model. The record is from RNAcentral.
GAUGAACGCUGGCGGCGUGCUUAACACAUGCAAGUCGAACGGGAAUUAUUUUAUUGACACUUCGGUCGAUUUAAUUUAAUUCUAGUGGCGGACGGGUGAGUAACGCGUGGGUAACCUGCCUUAUACAGGGGGAUAACAGUCAGAAAUGGCUGCUAAUACCGCAUAAGCGCACAGAGCUGCAUGGCUCAGUGUGAAAAACUCCGGUGGUAUAAGAUGGACCCGCGUUGGAUUAGCUGGUUGGUGGGGUAACGGCCCACCAAGGCGACGAUCCAUAGCCGGCCUGAGAGGGGGAACGGCCACAGUGGGACUGAGACACGGCCCAGACUCCUACGGGAGGCAGCAGUGGGGAAUAUUGCACAAUGGGGGAAACCCUGAUGCAGCGACGCCGCGUGAAGGAAGAAGUAUCUCGGGAUGUAAACUUCUAUCAGCAGGGAAGAUAGUGACGGUACCUGACGAAGAAGCCCCGGCUAACUACGUG